Molecule: non-coding RNA, 74 nt
Organism: Podarcis lilfordi (Lilford's wall lizard)
Lineage: Eukaryota; Metazoa; Chordata; Lepidosauria; Squamata; Lacertidae
Source: the annotation of a GenBank genome assembly
GCUUGGGAUAGCUCAGUUGGUAGAGCAUAAGAUUUCUAAUGUCAGGGUCGUGGGAACGAGCCCCACGCUGGACA